RNAcentral lists this transfer RNA (72 nucleotides) under Pharomachrus auriceps. RNAcentral's name for it is "tRNA-Glu". Lineage: Eukaryota; Metazoa; Chordata; Aves; Trogoniformes; Trogonidae. The record is from RNAcentral.
AUGGUUCUUGUAGUUGAAGUACAACAGUAAUUUUUCGUGUUACAAGUCUUGGAGAUAGGCCAAGCAAGAAUA